GAGAGGAAAACAGAGAAGGCCAAGGGAGGUUAGCUGCAAACUCCCUUCUAAAGUUACAGUGCAAUCUUAAACCUGUGAAAGACCUUCAUGGCUCAUUUGCAAAGCGGAUUUAGGCUUGGCUACUCUUCAUUCCUCCAGUCGUUGUCGGACAGGGGACAACAAUUCCAUCAGCCUCAGUGAAUCACAAUCUCUUUCAUUUCAGUCCAAGAUAAUGUCCUGCUCGUGAAAGUCCUCCUUAAAGACACAAAGAUAAAACGCCAGCAUUUUCCUGCUGUGAAGUUACCGAUGAAAAUUAUCUUGUUUCCAAAACUAAAAUACUGAAGACAAAUGUGGACGCAUGCUGAAGAAACAAUCUGAAUACACACCCUGAAGACAAACCCCUGGGGAAACAACCCUCAAAAUGAUUAUUUAAGAUGUGGAACAGGACACUUGGAAAAUCAUUAUAUGAUAAAGCUUAUUCAACAUGGAUUAAUGAAAGGAAAAACAUGCUAGGCAAAUGUUGGCACUUUUUUGGGAUGUAAUUAACAAGAUGAAUAAGGGGUUCCAGUACAAUGUUAUGCAAAUUAUUUUCAAAAAACAUUUGAAUAGAUGCCACUGGAGAGGCUUUUUCAUAAAAUUAAAAUAAAAAUAGUUACAAGACUCAUUCAAAAGGCUGAAUG
Molecule: non-coding RNA, 659 nt
Organism: Chiloscyllium plagiosum (whitespotted bambooshark)
Lineage: Eukaryota; Metazoa; Chordata; Chondrichthyes; Orectolobiformes; Hemiscylliidae
Source: RefSeq, a predicted model, not a curated record